This 484-nucleotide ribosomal RNA is filed under the name Fusarium oxysporum f. sp. lentis. RNAcentral describes it as "eukaryotic LSU rRNA". The stretch from base 129 to 282 matches the Rfam family "5.8S ribosomal RNA". Lineage: Eukaryota; Fungi; Ascomycota; Sordariomycetes; Hypocreales; Nectriaceae. The record is from RNAcentral.
ACCCCUGUGACAUACCACUUGUUGCCUCGGCGGAUCAGCCCGCUCCCGGUAAAACGGGACGGCCCGCCAGAGGACCCCUAAACUCUGUUUCUAUAUGUAACUUCUGAGUAAAACCAUAAAUAAAUCAAAACUUUCAACAACGGAUCUCUUGGUUCUGGCAUCGAUGAAGAACGCAGCAAAAUGCGAUAAGUAAUGUGAAUUGCAGAAUUCAGUGAAUCAUCGAAUCUUUGAACGCACAUUGCGCCCGCCAGUAUUCUGGCGGGCAUGCCUGUUCGAGCGUCAUUUCAACCCUCAAGCACAGCUUGGUGUUGGGACUCGCGUUAAUUCGCGUUCCUCAAAUUGAUUGGCGGUCACGUCGAGCUUCCAUAGCGUAGUAGUAAAACCCUCGUUACUGGUAAUCGUCGCGGCCACGCCGUUAAACCCCAACUUCUGAAUGUUGACCUCGGAUCAGGUAGGAAUACCCGCUGAACUUAAGCAUAUCAAU